This 427-nucleotide ribosomal RNA is filed under the name uncultured bacterium. RNAcentral describes it as "bacterial SSU rRNA". It matches the Rfam family "Bacterial small subunit ribosomal RNA", at positions 354 to 796 of the family's 1533-position model. The record is from RNAcentral.
GUGGGGAAUUUUCCGCAAUGGGCGAAAGCCUGACGGAGCAACGCCGCGUGAGGGAUGAAGGCCUCUGGGCUGUAAACCUCUUUUCUCAAGGAAGAAGACCUGACGGUACUUGAGGAAUAAGCCACGGCUAAUUCCGUGCCAGCAGCCGCGGUAAUACGGGAGUGGCAAGCGUUAUCCGGAAUUAUUGGGCGUAAAGCGUCCGCAGGCGGCUUUACAAGUCUGUCGUUAAAGCGUGGAGCUUAACUCCAUUUAAGCGAUGGAAACUGUAAGGCUUGAGUGUGGUAGGGGCAGAGGGAAUUCCCGGUGUAGCGGUGAAAUGCGUAGAUAUCGGGAAGAACACCAGUGGCGAAGGCGCUCUGCUGGGCCAUAACUGACGCUCAUGGACGAAAGCCAGGGGAGCGAAAGGGAUUAGAAACCCCAGUAGUCC